Tilletiaria anomala is the source of this 108-nucleotide transfer RNA. It matches the Rfam family "tRNA". From Rfam's summary of the family: Transfer RNA (tRNA) molecules are approximately 80 nucleotides in length. Their secondary structure includes four short double-helical elements and three loops (D, anti-codon, and T loops). The record is from Rfam. NCBI's taxonomy places the organism in Eukaryota, Fungi, Basidiomycota, Exobasidiomycetes, Georgefischeriales, Tilletiariaceae.
GGCAGCUUAACCAAGUGGUUACGGUGUUCGCCUGCUAUUAAGCACUUUGCAAUAGCAAGGGCCAGCGAAUCCUCUCUGAGGGCGUGAGUUCGAAUCUCACAGCUGUCG